This 402-nucleotide ribosomal RNA is filed under the name uncultured bacterium. RNAcentral describes it as "bacterial SSU rRNA". It matches the Rfam family "Bacterial small subunit ribosomal RNA", at positions 355 to 774 of the family's 1533-position model. The record is from RNAcentral.
UGGGGAAUAUUGCACAAUGGGGGAAACCCUGAUGCAGCAACGCCGCGUGAGUGAUGACGGCCUUCGGGUUGUAAAGCUCUGUCUUUGGGGACGAUAAUGACGGUACCCAAGGAGGAAGCCACGGCUAACUACGUGCCAGCAGCCGCGGUAAUACGUAGGUGGCAAGCGUUGUCCGGAUUUACUGGGCGUAAAGGGAGCGUAGGCGGAUUUUUAAGUGGGAUGUGAAAUACCCGGGCUCAACCUGGGUGCUGCAUUCCAAACUGGAAAUCUAGAGUGCAGGAGGGGAAAGUGGAAUUCCUAGUGUAGCGGUGAAAUGCGUAGAGAUUAGGAAGAACACCAGUGGCGAAGGCGACUUUCUGGACUGUAACUGACACUGAGGCUCGAAAGCGUGGGGAGCAAACA